Molecule: ribozyme, 115 nt
Filed under: Aedes aegypti (yellow fever mosquito)
Lineage: Eukaryota; Metazoa; Arthropoda; Insecta; Diptera; Culicidae
Description: drz-agam-1 ribozyme
Rfam family: drz-agam-1 ribozyme
Source: Rfam by way of RNAcentral
UGCCCAGCAACUCCUAUCCCUACCUCCUCGCGGUACCGGCCGGGUACGAGUAACCUCUGGGAAGAUCGGGUAACCAACCCCGAUGGGAACUCUGGUCGUAUACUGACAGAGAAGG